AGAGUUUGAUCCUGGCUCAGAACGAACGCUGGCGGCAUGCCUAACACAUGCAAGUCGAACGCUAUUUAUAGAGUGGCGCACGGGUGAGUAACGCGUGGGAACCUGCCUUUUUCUGCGGGAUAACGGUUGGAAACGGCCGCUAAUACCGCAUACGCCCUACGGGGGAAAGGUCCGCCGGAAAAAGAGGGGCCCGCGUCUGAUUAGCUAGUUGGUAGGGUAAAGGCCUACCAAGCCGACGAUCAGUAGCUGGUCUGAGAGGACGAUCAGCCACACUGGAACUGAGACACGGUCCAGACUCCUACGGGAGGCAGCAGUGGGGAAUUUUGGACAAUGGGGGCAACCCUGAUCCAGCCAUUCCGCGUGAGUGAAGAAGGCCUUCGGGUUGUAAAGCUCUUUCGCAAGAGAAGAAAUCUUACUAUCGAAUAAAUAGUAAGGAUGACGGUAUCUUGACAAGAAGCACCGGCUAACUACGUGCCAGCAGCCGCGGUAAUACGUAGGGUGCGAGCGUUAAUCGGAAUUACUGGGCGUAAAGCGUGCGCAGGCGGUUUUAUAAGUCGGAUGUGAAAUCCCCGAGCUCAACUUGGGGACUGCGUUUGAAACUGUAAGACUAGAGUGUGUCAGAGGGGGGUAGAAUUCCACGUGUAGCAGUGAAAUGCGUAGAUAUGUGGAGGAAUACCAAUGGCGAAGGCAGCCCCCUGGGAUAACACUGACGCUCAUGCACGAAAGCGUGGGGAGCAAACAGGAUUAGAUACCUGGUAGUCCACGCCCUAAACGAUGUCUACUAGUUGUUGGUGGAGUAAAAUCCAUGAGUAACGCAGCUAACGCGUGAAGUAGACCGCCUGGGGAGUACGGUCGCAAGAUUAAAACUCAAAGGAAUUGACGGGGGCCCGCACAAGCGGUGGAUUAUGUGGAUUAAUUCGAUGCAACGCGAAAAACCUUACCUGGCCUUGACAUGUACCGAAUUUAGCAGAGAUGCUUUAGUGCUCGUAAGAGAACGGUAACACAGGUGCUGCAUGGCUGUCGUCAGCUCGUGUCGUGAGAUGUUGGGUUAAGUCCCGCAACGAGCGCAACCCUUGCCAUUAAUUGCCAUCAUUUAGUUGGGCACUUUAAUGGGACUGCCGGUGACAAACCGGAGGAAGGUGGGGAUGACGUCAAGUCCUCAUGGCCCUUAUGGCCAGGGCUUCACACGUAAUACAAUGGACGAUACAGAGGGACGCCAACCCGCGAGGGGGAGCCAAUCCCAGAAAGCCGUUCGUAGUCCGGAUUGUUGUCUGCAACUCGACAACAUGAAGUCGGAAUCGCUAGUAAUCGCGGAUCAGAAUGUCGCGGUGAAUACGUUCCCGGGCCUUGUACACACCGCCCGUCACACCAUGGGAGUGGGUCUUACCAGAAGUAGUUAGUCUGACCGCAAGGGGGACGAUUACCACGGUAGGAUUCAUGACUGGGGUGAAGUCGUAACAAGGUAA
This 1466-nucleotide ribosomal RNA is filed under the name uncultured bacterium. Its description in RNAcentral is "bacterial SSU rRNA". It matches the Rfam family "Bacterial small subunit ribosomal RNA". The record is from RNAcentral.